Molecule: transfer RNA, 72 nt
Filed under: Stegodyphus mimosarum
Lineage: Eukaryota; Metazoa; Arthropoda; Arachnida; Araneae; Eresidae
Rfam family: tRNA
About the family: Transfer RNA (tRNA) molecules are approximately 80 nucleotides in length. Their secondary structure includes four short double-helical elements and three loops (D, anti-codon, and T loops). Further hydrogen bonds mediate the characteristic L-shaped molecular structure. tRNAs have two regions of fundamental functional importance: the anti-codon, which is responsible for specific mRNA codon recognition, and the 3' end, to which the tRNAs corresponding amino acid is attached (by aminoacyl-tRNA synthetases). tRNAs cope with the degeneracy of the genetic code in two manners: having more than one tRNA (with a specific anti-codon) for a particular amino acid; and 'wobble' base-pairing, i.e. permitting non-standard base-pairing at the 3rd anti-codon position.
Source: Rfam by way of RNAcentral
GCCUUCGUGGUGUAACGGUAGCACAAUGUGGCACGUAUUCCAGAGGUACAGGUUCGAGUCCCGGCGAAGGCA